This 429-nucleotide ribosomal RNA is filed under the name Gemmatimonadota bacterium. RNAcentral's name for it is "Gemmatimonadetes bacterium partial 16S ribosomal RNA". It matches the Rfam family "Bacterial small subunit ribosomal RNA", at positions 355 to 776 of the family's 1533-position model. Lineage: Bacteria; Pseudomonadati; Gemmatimonadota. The record is from RNAcentral.
UAGGGAAUCUUCGGCAAUGGACGAAAGUCUGACCGAGCAACGCCGCGUGAGUGACGAAGGUUUUCGGAUCGUAAAACUCUGUUGUUAGAGAAGAACAAGGACGUUAGUAACUGAACGUCCCCUGACGGUAUCUAACCAGGAAGCCACGGCUAACUACGUGCCAGCAGCUGCGGUAAUACGUAGGUGGCAAGCGUUGUCCGGAUUUAUUGGGCGUAAAGCGUGCGCAGGAGGUUUCUUAAGUCUGUUGUGAAAGCCCCCGGCUCAACCGGGGAGGGUCAUUGGAAACUGGGAGACUUGAGUGCAGAAGAGGAGAGUGGAAUUCCAUGUGUAGCGGUGAAAUGCGUAGAUAUAUGGAGGAACACCAGUGGCGAAGGCGGCUCUCUGGUCUGUAACUGACGCUGAGGCGCGAAAGCGUGGGGAGCAAACAGG